GGGGGGAUAGCUCAAGUUGUAGAGCACAUGCUUAGCAUGCAUGAGGUCCUGGGUUCAAUCCCUAGUACCUCCU
Molecule: transfer RNA, 73 nt
Organism: Camelus ferus (Wild Bactrian camel)
Lineage: Eukaryota; Metazoa; Chordata; Mammalia; Artiodactyla; Camelidae
Rfam family: tRNA
About the family: Transfer RNA (tRNA) molecules are approximately 80 nucleotides in length. Their secondary structure includes four short double-helical elements and three loops (D, anti-codon, and T loops). Further hydrogen bonds mediate the characteristic L-shaped molecular structure. tRNAs have two regions of fundamental functional importance: the anti-codon, which is responsible for specific mRNA codon recognition, and the 3' end, to which the tRNAs corresponding amino acid is attached (by aminoacyl-tRNA synthetases). tRNAs cope with the degeneracy of the genetic code in two manners: having more than one tRNA (with a specific anti-codon) for a particular amino acid; and 'wobble' base-pairing, i.e. permitting non-standard base-pairing at the 3rd anti-codon position.
Source: Rfam